Molecule: ribosomal RNA, 28 nt
Filed under: Hedychium thyrsiforme
Lineage: Eukaryota; Viridiplantae; Streptophyta; Magnoliopsida; Zingiberales; Zingiberaceae
Description: partial 18S ribosomal RNA
Source: RNAcentral
UAGGUGAACUGCCCAAGGAUCAUUGUUG